UGGACAGACCCGGGCCAGUUUGCAGUUUGGUGUAAAAUUCUCCCGUGUGUGUCACAUACGAUUUGCACAUUUAUAGAGUGGUGCCCUUUUCUGUUCACAUACUCUGCCUCAAAUUCCUUGGGUGCAACAAUCCUCACAUGUGUUCCGUCUACUGCCCCUACCACACCAGGAAAUCCCGCAAUUUCCUCAAACUCUCGCCGCUUCACCUGAGUUUCUUGCACAGUGAGGGGGAACUUGAUGAAGCGUCUCACUAUAUGAGGCUGUGCAAGGGCGUACACAGUCUCCCGGGUGACCCUGCUGACGGUCUGUUGUGAAGGCCCCAAGUCGUCGCUGCUACACUGCUGCAUUUUGCCCGUAGCAAGAUACCUCAGUGUUACGAGGACCUUCAUCUCCGGGGAGAGGGCUUGGUUCCUGUUUGUAGGAGCAGUCAAGGCCUCACGCACCAAAUCAGCCACGAAGAGUAUCCCUGCACGGUCCAGGCGGUACCUCUUGAUCAAUUCCGGGUCCGGAAGUUCAUCAAGGACGUCUCUUCGUGCCCGAAAAGUCCUCAGCUGCCGCGGACGCGCACCCACUACCUCUGCCAUCUUGACUGUUAUGCCUCGCUUAUGUCGACAUAAGGAUUGCAAUGUUACCUCCACCCCGCGCGUAGCUGGCGAGUCAGUUUAUGUUCCGCUUAGUUGAAACAUAAGGGUUAUGCUUCCCUUAUGUCUCGGUGUCCGCCAUUUUCUUGAUUUAUGUCUCACAUAAGCGAAACAUACUCUUUAUAAGUACGGGCCCUGGAGCGCAACCAGACGGAGCAGGACAUUGUGUGCAAGGAAGUGAGUGAUGACGUGGCUGACCUGGACGGGCAGAUCAGACAGUCCAUGGAGGAGAUCCGGAACACCAACAUCAUGAUAAAGAACAACUACAAGCUUAUCCUCGAUGCUAUGGAGGAAGGCAACGUUGAGCUGAUGUCUGCCCUCACUGAGGCCACCAAGUGUGU
Eriocheir sinensis (Chinese mitten crab) is the source of this 982-nucleotide long non-coding RNA. RefSeq lists it as uncharacterized. Lineage: Eukaryota; Metazoa; Arthropoda; Malacostraca; Decapoda; Varunidae. The record is from RefSeq and is a predicted model, not a curated record. The transcript is spliced from 2 exons.